This 265-nucleotide ribosomal RNA is filed under the name uncultured Actinomycetales bacterium. RNAcentral describes it as "partial 16S ribosomal RNA". It matches the Rfam family "Bacterial small subunit ribosomal RNA", at positions 223 to 505 of the family's 1533-position model. The record is from RNAcentral. Lineage: Bacteria; Bacillati; Actinomycetota; Actinomycetes; Actinomycetales.
GGAUGAGCCCGCGGCCUAUCAGCUUGUUGGUGGGGUAAUGGCCCACCAAGGCAUUGACGGGUAGCCGGCCUGAGAGGGUGACCGGCCACACUGGGACUGAGACACGGCCCAGACUCCUACGGGAGGCAGCAGUGGGGAAUAUUGGACAAUGGGCGAAAGCCUGAUCCAGCAACGCCGCGUGAGGGAUGACGGCCUUCGGGUUGUAAACCUCUUUCAGCAGGGAUGAGAGCGAGACGUGACAUACCUGCAGAUAAUUCCCUCCACG